CUGCUCACUUUGGCAGCACAUAUACUAAAAUUAGAAUAAUACAGAGAAGAUUAGCAUGACCUCUGUGCAAGGAUGACACGCAAAUACAUGAAGUAUUUCAUAUUUUU
This 107-nucleotide small nuclear RNA is filed under the name Notamacropus eugenii (tammar wallaby). Lineage: Eukaryota; Metazoa; Chordata; Mammalia; Diprotodontia; Macropodidae. The record is from RNAcentral.